UACGAAGGGAGCUAGCGUUGUUCGGAAUUACUGGGCGUAAAGGGCGCGUAGGCGGCCACGUGAGUCAGAUGUGAAAUCCCCGGGCUUAACCUGGGAACUGCAUUUGAUACUGCGAGGCUAGAGAAUGUGAGAGGUAAGUGGAAUUAUGAGUGUAGAGGUGAAAUUCGUAGAUAUUCAUAAGAACAUCAGUGGCGAAGGCGGCUUACUGGCCCGGUACUGACGCUCAUGUGCGAAAGCGUGGGGAGCAAACAGG
RNAcentral lists this ribosomal RNA (253 nucleotides) under uncultured bacterium. Its description in RNAcentral is "partial 16S ribosomal RNA". It matches the Rfam family "Bacterial small subunit ribosomal RNA", at positions 524 to 776 of the family's 1533-position model. The record is from RNAcentral.